UGAGCCUUGAUAUCAUGUAUCCUCUACUGUGUAUACGUGUCAUAAUGGUACGGCAUUUGAUAGCGCAGCUACUCAAUCAAAAGCAUAAGCGUUCGGUUUCAACUUUUCGCGGCCUCCAUGGGAUCAGACCCGGAGCCAAAGGAUAAACUCAAAGUCCAUUCGCUUGACUGCCUAGGUGUGAAGGAGAAAAUAUGCGGUGGACGUUGCAGAAGCAUGAAAGCAAAAGGUUUUAUCCAGCAUCUUGACCCUAACAGCAGACUGACUGGAUCCUGUAUCCCCUAUCCAAAAAUCACGUGGUACGCUAGGGCACCGUUGGAAAACCAAAAAAAAUAUCAUACGGAGACUCCAUGCUAUAAAUCCGAUGGGCUCCUUGAUUUCCUAUUUAUUGUCA
RNAcentral lists this small RNA (391 nucleotides) under Histoplasma capsulatum var. duboisii H88. Its description in RNAcentral is "Histoplasma capsulatum H88 hypothetical RNA". The record is from RNAcentral. Lineage: Eukaryota; Fungi; Ascomycota; Eurotiomycetes; Onygenales; Ajellomycetaceae.